This 465-nucleotide ribosomal RNA is filed under the name Vreelandella stevensii. RNAcentral describes it as "partial 16S ribosomal RNA". It matches the Rfam family "Bacterial small subunit ribosomal RNA", at positions 338 to 795 of the family's 1533-position model. Lineage: Bacteria; Pseudomonadati; Pseudomonadota; Gammaproteobacteria; Oceanospirillales; Halomonadaceae. The record is from RNAcentral.
CCUACGGGUGGCAUCAGUGGGGAAUAUUGGACAAUGGGCGAAAGCCUGAUCCAGCCAUGCCGCGUGUGUGAAGAAGGCCUUCGGGUUGUAAAGCACUUUCAGUGGGGAAGAAAGCCUUGGGGCUAAUACCCUCGAGGAAGGACAUCACCCACAGAAGAAGCACCGGCUAACUCCGUGCCAGCAGCCGCGGUAAUACGGAGGGUGCGAGCGUUAAUCGGAAUUACUGGGCGUAAAGCGCGCGUAGGCGGUCUGAUAAGCCGGUUGUGAAAGCCCCGGGCUCAACCUGGGAACGGCAUCCGGAGCUGUCAGGCUAGAGUGCAGGAGAGGAAGGUAGAAUUCCCGGUGUAGCGGUGAAAUGCGUAGAGAGCGGGAGGAAUACCAGUGGCGAAGGCGGCCUUCUGGACUGACACUGACGCUGAGGUGCGAAAGCGUGGGUAGCAAACAGGAUUAGAUACCCGAGUAGUC